RNAcentral lists this ribosomal RNA (743 nucleotides) under uncultured bacterium. RNAcentral describes it as "bacterial SSU rRNA". It matches the Rfam family "Bacterial small subunit ribosomal RNA", at positions 94 to 823 of the family's 1533-position model. The record is from RNAcentral.
AGCGGCGGAUGGGUGAGUAACACGUGGGGAACCUGCCCCUAAGUCUGGGAUACCAUUUGGAAACAGGUGCUAAUACCGGAUAAUAAAGCAGAUCGCAUGAUCAGCUUUUGAAAGGCGGCGUAAGCUGUCGCUAAGGGAUGGCCCCGCGGUGCAUUAGCUAGUUGGUAAGGUAACGGCUUACCAAGGCGACGAUGCAUAGCCGAGUUGAGAGACUGAUCGGCCACAUUGGGACUGAGACACGGCCCAAACCCCUACGGGAGGCAGCAGUAGGGAAUCUUCCACAAUGGACGCAAGUCUGAUGGAGCAACGCCGCGUGAGUGAAGAAGGUUUUCGGAUCGUAAAGCUCUGUUGUUGGUGAAGAAGGAUAGAGGUAGUAACUGGCCUUUAUUUGACGGUAAUCAACCAGAAAGUCACGGCUAACUACGUGCCAGCAGCCGCGGUAAUACGUAGGUGGCAAGCGUUGUCCGGAUUUAUUGGGCGUAAAGCGAGCGCAGGCGGAAAAAUAAGUCUAAUGUGAGAGCCCUCGGCUUAACCGAGGAACUGCAUCGGAAACUGUUUUUCUUGAGUGCAGAAGAGGAGAGUGGAACUCCAUGUGUAGCGGUGGAAUGCGUAGAUAUAUGGAAGAACACCAGUGGCGAAGGCGGCUCUCUGGUCUGCAACUGACGCUAAGGCUCGAAAGCAUGGGUAGCGAACAGGAUUAGAUACCCUGGUAGUCCAUGCCGUAAACGAUGAGUGCUAAGUGU